UACGUAGGUGGCAAGCGUUAUCCGGAUUUACUGGGUGUAAAGGGCGUGUAGGCGGGUCUGCAAGUCAGAUGUGAAAUCUCCGGGCUUAACUCGGAAGUGUCAUCUGAAACUACGGAUCUUGAGUACUGGAGAGGAUAGUGGAAUUCCUAGUGUAGCUGUAAAAUGCGUAGAUAUUAGGAGGAACACCAGUGGCGAAGGCGGCUAUCUGGACAGUAACUGACGCUGAGGCGCGAAAGCGUGGGGAGCAAACAGGAUUAGAUACCCCU
RNAcentral lists this ribosomal RNA (266 nucleotides) under uncultured prokaryote. RNAcentral's name for it is "partial 16S ribosomal RNA". It matches the Rfam family "Bacterial small subunit ribosomal RNA", at positions 524 to 788 of the family's 1533-position model. The record is from RNAcentral.